AGAUUGAACGCUGGCGGCAGGCCUAACACAUGCAAGUCGAGCGGCAGCACGGGUACUUGUACCUGGUGGCGAGCGGCGGACGGGUGAGUAAUGCCUAGGAAUCUGCCUGAUAGUGGGGGAUAACGCUCGGAAACGGACGCUAAUACCGCAUACGUCCUACGGGAGAAAGCAGGGGACCUUCGGGCCUUGCGCUAUCAGAUGAGCCUAGGUCGGAUUAGCUAGUUGGUGGGUAAUGGCUCACCAAGGCGACGAUCCGUAACUGGUCUGAGAGGAUGAUCAGUCACACUGGAACUGAGACACGGUCCAGACUCCGUACGGAGGCAGCAGUGGGAAUAGUUGGACAAUGGGCGAAAGCCUGAUCCAGCCAUGCCGCGUGUGUGAAGAAGGUCUUCGGAUUGUAAAGCGUAACUUUUAAGGUGGAAGGAAGGCAGUUACCUAAUACGUAUCGUUGUUUCGACGUCACCGACAGAAUAAGACACCGGACUAACUCUAGUCGACCUACG
This 503-nucleotide ribosomal RNA is filed under the name uncultured soil bacterium. Its description in RNAcentral is "bacterial SSU rRNA". It matches the Rfam family "Bacterial small subunit ribosomal RNA", at positions 26 to 516 of the family's 1533-position model. The record is from RNAcentral.